GUGGGGAAUAUUGGGCAAUGGGGGAAACCCUGACCCAGCGACGCCGCGUGGGUGAUGAAGGCCUUCGGGUCGUAAAGCCUUGUCAAGAGGAACGAACGACCUUGAGGCAAAUAGCCUCAAGGAGUGACGGUACCUCUGAAGGAAGCACCGGCCAACUCCGUGCCAGCAGCCGCGGUAAGACGGAGGGUGCAAGCGUUGCUCGGAAUUAUUGGGCGUAAAGGGUGCGUAGGCGGCUUUUUAAGUCUGACGUGAAAGCCCAGGGCUCAGCCUUGGAAGUGCGUCAGAAACUGGGAAGCUAGAGUACCGGAGGGGAGAGUGGAAUUCCUGGUGUAGCGGUGAAAUGCGUAGAUAUCAGGAGGAAUACCGGUGGCGAAAGCGACUCUCUGGACGGUAACUGACGCUGAGGCACGAAAGCGUGGGUAGCAAACAGGAUUAGAUACCCGUGUAGUCC
RNAcentral lists this ribosomal RNA (451 nucleotides) under uncultured bacterium. RNAcentral's name for it is "bacterial SSU rRNA". It matches the Rfam family "Bacterial small subunit ribosomal RNA", at positions 354 to 796 of the family's 1533-position model. The record is from RNAcentral.